UGGGGAUUCCCGCGGCCUUGGCCGCUACCCGGCCUGCCCCGCGGCAAGAUGGCGGCGUGAAGGUGGCGGGCAGCGGCAGAAACUGAAGACUCAGGGGCCCCAGGGACUGGAAGAAAUCACAGUGCCCGCUUGGAAAGAAGAAGAGGUAGCGACUUGCCCCAGCUCAACCCCAGAGCGGGAGCUGUUGGCUAGAGGAAGUGGAGGGGCCGUGGGAUGCAGAGAGCCGAGGGCUAACUCUGGGACAGCGGAACAGAGAGAGCUGCCGACGAUCAGACGCAGGUUGAGGAGCCCUCACCUCCCAGGAUGACCAGCGCAGCCCCUGCUAAGAAACCGUACCGUAAGGCCCCACCUGAGCAUCGGGAGUUGCGGCUGGAGGUUCCUGGAUCCCGGCUGGAGCAGGAGGAGCCCCUGACCGAUGCAGAGAGGAUGAAGCUGUUGCAGCAGGAGAACGAGGAGCUCCGCCGGCGCCUGGCCUCAGCCACCAGGCGCACCGAGGCCCUGGAGCGCGAGCUGGAGAUCGGGCAGGACUGCUUGGAGCUGGAGCUGGGCCAGAGCCGCGAGGAGCUGGACAAAUUUAAGGACAAGUUCCGCAGGCUUCAGAACAGCUACACGGCUUCCCAGAGGACCAACCAGGAGCUGGAGGACAAGCUGCACACACUGAUCAAGAAAGCGGAGAUGGACAGGAAGACGCUGGACUGGGAGAUCGUGGAGCUGACCAACAAGCUGCUGGAUGCCAAGAACACCAUCAACAAGCUGGAGGAGCUCAAUGAGCGGUACCGGCUGGACUGCAACCUGGCUGUGCAGCUCCUCAAGUGCAACAAGUCCCACUUCCGCAACCACAAGUUCGCCGAUCUGCCCUGUGAGCUACAGGACAUGGUUCGGAAACAUCUGCACAGUGGUCAAGAGGCUGCCAGCCCGGGCCCCGCCCCUAGCCUGAUGCCAGGGGCUGUGGUACCCACCUCGGUCAUUGCCCGGGUGUUAGAGAAGCCAGAGUCUCUACUGCUCAACUCAGCCCAGUCAGGCAGUGCCGGGCGCCCCUUGGCCGAGGAUGUCUUUGUGCACGUGGACAUGAGUGGGGGGGGGCCGGGUGACCCAGCCAGUCCCCCAGCCCCUGGCAGCCCCACCUCACAACCCAAUGGGGAAUGCCGCUCCCUGGGCACUGCUGGGGGCUCCCCAGAGGAGGAGUUGCCCCUGCCAGCCUUUGAGAAGCUGAGCCCCUACCCCACCCCAUCUCCACCACACCCGCUGUAUCCUGGCCGCAAGGUAAUCGAGUUCUCUGAGGAUAAGGUGCGAAUCCCCCGCAACAGCCCCCUGCCCAACUGCACUUACGCCACCCGCCAGGCCAUUUCCCUGAGCCUGGUGGAGGAGGGUGGUGAGCGGGCCCGCCCCAGCCCAGUGCCCAGCAGCCCUGCCUCGGCCCAGACCUCCCCCCGCCACGAGCCCAGCCCUGUCCCCCCGGCACUCAGUGCCCCGGCCAGCUCUGCCAGCUCUGAGGAGGACCUGCUAGCCAGCUGGCAGCGAGCAUUUGUGGACCGCACUCCACCCCCAGCCGCCGUGGCCCAGCGCACAGCCUUUGGACGUGAUGCCCUCCCUGACCUGCAGCGCCACUUUGCUCUUAGCCCCACUGACAGAGAUGAGGAGGUUCUGGUGCCUUCUUCCCCACCUGGUGAGAGUGGGCUUUUGCUGCCAACAGAAGCUGAUUCUGGCCUUCCCAGGGAGGAGGAAGAAGAGCUGAACCUGCCCAUCAGCCCUGAGGAAGAACGCCAGAGUCUGCUGCCCGGUGAUAAUGGCACAGAUCAGGGGCCUGUCACUUCCCACACUGACGGCAGGGCCUGGGCACUCCCCAGCUCCA
This 1852-nucleotide long non-coding RNA is filed under the name Felis catus (domestic cat). RNAcentral describes it as "tight junction associated protein 1 (ENSFCAG00000009728.6)". Lineage: Eukaryota; Metazoa; Chordata; Mammalia; Carnivora; Felidae. The record is from RNAcentral.